ACUCGGUUGAUUGGGCUGCCCCCUGGUUGCUUAGCGGCUGAGGAAGCGCCAUCCUGUUCCCCUUUCAGGGCUGUGGGGACCGGAAGGUGAAACAGCGCUGUUGAAGACAGCCCACCAGAGGAGCCCAGGCCAUCAAAGUCAAAUGUGAACUUAAGUUCUCUGUGGCAGAUUGCAGCGCUGGUAAAAUGGCUCAUGACUCACAUAUCACUUUGAAUGCAAUCUAUGGACCUUGUUUGGAUCCUGAUUGAAAUGAGUCAACUGCAAUCUAAAAAAAAAAAUAAAAAUGAAACCACCAGGUAAAUUUUAACACUGGCUAAACAUGAGAUGAUGUUAAGGUAUUACUAUUUUAGUGACAUAAUGGUAUUGCUGUUGUGUUAAAAUGUUCUCAUCUCUUUAGAGGUACGUAAAAAAGUAUCUUAUUUAAGUUUAAUCAUCCAUUUCUUCCAUAAGAAAGACAGAGGAGACACUCCCAAUAGGGUCCCUGUGCCACAAUCCAUCCUCAGUUCCAGAUGACCCAGAUCAUGAAUACAUGCACGAGCACCAGGAAUGCUCAGAGAGGUC
Long non-coding RNA from Tupaia belangeri chinensis (Chinese tree shrew), 561 nucleotides. RefSeq lists it as uncharacterized. The transcript has 3 exons. The record is from RefSeq and is a predicted model, not a curated record. Lineage: Eukaryota; Metazoa; Chordata; Mammalia; Scandentia; Tupaiidae.